RNAcentral lists this ribosomal RNA (253 nucleotides) under uncultured bacterium. RNAcentral's name for it is "partial 16S ribosomal RNA". It matches the Rfam family "Bacterial small subunit ribosomal RNA", at positions 524 to 776 of the family's 1533-position model. The record is from RNAcentral.
UACGGGGGGAGCAAGCGUUGUUCGGAUUUACUGGGCGUAAAGGGCGCGUAGGCGGCGUAACAAGUCACUUGUGAAAUCUCCGGGCUUAACCCGGAGCGGCCAAGUGAUACUGUUGUGCUAGAGUGCGGAAGGGGCUACUGGAAUUCUCGGUGUAGCGGUGAAAUGCGUAGAUAUCUGGAGGAACACCGGUGGCGAAGGCGGCAUCCUGGACCGAUAUUGACGCUGAGGCGCGAAAGCCAGGGGAGCAAACGGG